CCGAAGCUGCGGCAGCGACACUAUGUGUUGUUGGGUAGGGGAGCGUUCUGUAAGCCUGCGAAGGUGGCCUGUGAGGGCUGCUGGAGGUAUCAGAAGUGCGAAUGCUGACAUAAGUAACGAUAAAGCGGGUGAAAAGCCCGCUCGCCGGAAGACCAAGGGUUCCUGUCCAACGUUAAUCGGGGCAGGGUGAGUCGACCCCUAAGGCGAGGCCGAAAGGCGUAGUCGAUGGGAAACAGGUUAAUAUUCCUGUACUUGGUGUUACUGCGAAGGGGGGACGGAGAAGGCUAUGUUAGCCGGGCGACGGUUGUCCCGGUUUAAGCAUGUAGGCGGAGGUUCCAGGUAAAUCCGGUACCUUUUAACGCUGAGGUGUGAUGACGAGGCACUACGGUGCUGAAGUAACAAAUGCCCUGCUUCCAGGAAAAGCCUCUAAGCAUCAGGUAACAUCAAAUCGUACCCCAAACCGACACAGGUGGUCAGGUAGAGAAUACCAAGGCGCUUGAGAGAACUCGGGUGAAGGAACUAGGCAAAAUGGUGCCGUAACUUCGGGAGAAGGCACGCUGGUGUGUAGGUGAAGUCCCUGCGGAUGGAGCUGAGACCAGUCGAAGAUACCAGCUGGCUGCAACUGUUUAUUAAAAACACAGCACUGUGCAAACACGAAAGUG
Molecule: ribosomal RNA, 662 nt
Filed under: Klebsiella variicola
Lineage: Bacteria; Pseudomonadati; Pseudomonadota; Gammaproteobacteria; Enterobacterales; Enterobacteriaceae
Description: partial 23S ribosomal RNA
Rfam family: Bacterial large subunit ribosomal RNA
Source: RNAcentral